Non-coding RNA from Lolium perenne, 2879 nucleotides. NCBI's taxonomy places the organism in Eukaryota, Viridiplantae, Streptophyta, Magnoliopsida, Poales, Poaceae. The record is from RefSeq and is a predicted model, not a curated record.
UCCGUCAAGAAUCACCAAAUCAGUCCAUCGCUGCUACCCAAAAAAUUACUCGCCCACGCUCGCGCCGCUGCUAGGCUAUACUCGCACAUACUCGCUGCCGGCCGCUCGUUGUACGUAUUGCCGGCCGAUCGUCGCUGACGCUGCUGAAGGAACACGCCGGCGCUCCAACAUCUCCACGCAAAGGUAAUUAAAAAGAAGGUUCAUACUCUCCUCUGCUCCCAUGGUGCUCCCAUGGUGAUUGUUGCUCCAUACAACACAUAUAUUUUCUAGGUUCAAAUCCCUACACAAUCCAAAGUUCAUAUCUUGUUUGGUCUCAUGAUGAUCUUUGAUCUCAUGUGAUACACUUCAAGAAUAGAACCAAAUUCAUAUCUUGUUUGGUCUCAUGAUAAUCUUUGGUCUCAUGUGAUACAAUUCAAGAAUAGAACUAAAAUAGAUAUUGAUUGGAUUGCACAUAUUGCUCUAACUUGCCCAAAUUAAUAUAUCCCUUGUUUUAGUCUCAUGGUGAAAUCCCAUGAAGAUACAAAUCGGGAUAAUCAACCAAAUCCUACUUUGGUCUCAUAGUGGCCAUUGGUCCUAUGAGGAUACAAAUUAGGUGCACAUGAUAAAAUUAUGUUUGAUGGCAGUUCCGAUCCCAUGAUGAUACCUAUUGUGCUGUAAAGAUCCUAGAUUAUUCUCCAUAUAAGAUGAUAGUCUAGUCAUAAAUAUAUAUAUGAGUUGUUGCUUUUUGAUGCUGACCCAUCGGCAUAUAUUAACUAAAAAUAAAUUAUGUAUUCCCUCAUAUGGAUGUAAGUAUGAAUUCCGAUAAAUUGUUUGAUGGGUAAAUUCACUCAUAUUGGUUUUGCACUAGAUACGGAGUAGUGUAUGUGAAAUGUUCUGUAUUCCAUUCCACAUUAGGAGUUACAAAGAAAACUAGUACACCAUGUUGUUAGUACUAGAACUAAAUAUAAUGAUCAAAGUGCUCGUACAUGAUAUUUACUCCAUGCAUAGUUUAGUCCCAUAUAGCUAAACUGAACCAAGAAAUUGCCAUAGGUUUUAUCAUGCUCCAUCAAAUAUAAAAUCGAUAUAUACUUCGAGUUUGGUUACACUACGUGCAUACGUGCUAUGCUAUGUUGGUGAUAAUACAAAUGAGAAGAAAUCACAAAGCUCCACUUGGUUAUGCUACACGUGGGCGUAUUGUCACACGGCGCUAGUAAUAAUACAAGUGAAGUGAAACUUAAUGAAAUAUGUUCAUAUAGAAACACUAGUCUCGCAUACAAAACUAGUGCAUUAACAUAGGUGUUGAAACCAUAUUGCACCACCAAGUUGCAUGCAUAUUCAAUGGAAAGUCCGCAUACUCACAAAUCAACAUAUACUCUUACUUGGUCACACUACAUGCUAUGCUAUGCUAGUGAUGAUACAACUAAGAAGAAAUAACCAUACUUCUCUCGGUUAUGCUACACGUGGGCAUAUUGCUACACGGCGCUAGUUAUAACACAAGUGAAGCCAAAGUUAAUCAAAUUCUCAUGUGGCAUACCGAUCCAAGAAACAUAGGGUAAAGUCAUGCCUAGCCAAAUCAACUUGCAUUUUAUACUAUCCAUCAUGCUAGUAAUAUAGAUGAAGUUGAGUAGAAACCAAGUUGGCCGUGCACUGAAAAUAUAGCAUGAGCCGAAUGUCGUCAAAUAGUGGUUUGGUGGAAAUAUUAAACUACUAUUAUCAAAGAUUAGUACAAUUAAAUAUGUACGCCAAAGUCUAGCUAGACGAGUCUCCAAAAUAGACAGAUCUAGUCUCCGAUGCGAUAUAAAAUAAGUUUCCCAUAUGAGCUUCCAUGCUCUAAAAUUCAAAUAUAAAAGCCGGCAUCUGUAUGCUAAUAUAAAUGCUUCCGAACAUGAAUUAGCACCGCAUCGCAGUAUCUACUUGUCGUAUGCACCAGUUGGUUUAAAUAUUAAACUACUAAAUACUAAAUCACGGUACAGUUAAAAACGUACGAGAAAGUAUAGCUAGCUGAGUCUCUGGAAUAGAUGAAUCUAGUAUCUUCAUAUGAGCUGUCAUGCUCUAAAAAGGAGUCAGGUCUAAAAAUCCUUACACUUCUGUUGCUAUAGCAUCUCUGGAAAUGUAUUAGCAGCCCCAUGAUAAUAUCCUCUUGCACAUACCUCAACGUGUAUGCAAGAUAAAAAUUAAACGAAGAUAGAUGCAGGUUAGUCCAAGAUAUAAUCGGUUAGCUUGCAUUCCUCAAAUACUCUCAUGUUGAAAGGAAAUGAGAAAUUAAAUUAUGUAUAUCCCUGUAGCGAUGAUUCAGUGCUACACCCAUCAGUACUAACCAGUACUACACCCUUCGUACUAGAAAAAGAAUAUGCGGAUUUAAAUAUAGAAUAGCUGCUGAUGCAUGCAUGUAGAAAAGCAUUGUGCAUGACCCUGGGCCAAAAUCGCAUGCACCAUUCUGAUGCUCUUAUUAGUUGGCUAAUGAAACAACCUCAUGGACAAUUAAAAGUUUACUUCAUGAUCUAAGCCAACUGAAUAUAGUACCGACUGAAUAUAGUAUAUAUCUGAUGCAUGCGCUUUACUUGUACUUCCCAAACUAGUACAAGUGCCAAAUAUUGUGCUUGUACCUCUUAUACUAGUGCAAGUGAAAAAUGAGACUUAUACACUAAAUAUAAAUGAUGCCAAAAACAUGAUAACUUAAAGAAGAUGAAGUGCUCCACGAGCAGACGACGACGACGGCGGCAGCGGAAGCGAGGAGGACUUUAGUUACUACAAUUUGUAGUACCCAUAUGUUGUAGUGUCAUGUAAUAGCUAUUGUUGGAAUACUUAAUCAAGGGUUUUCUCUCCGGAGAUGUAAUUAACAGUUCUUUUAUGUAAAUGUGAAAGUUCUGGAAAUAAAGUACCUGCAAUGUUUGAUAUCU